This 397-nucleotide ribosomal RNA is filed under the name uncultured bacterium. Its description in RNAcentral is "partial 16S ribosomal RNA". It matches the Rfam family "Bacterial small subunit ribosomal RNA", at positions 362 to 776 of the family's 1533-position model. The record is from RNAcentral.
UAUUGCGCAAUGGAGGAAACUCUGACGCAGUGACGCCGCGUAUAGGAAGAAGGUUUUCGGAUNGUAAACUAUUGUCGUGAGGGAANNCCNNNANAGUACCUCAGGAGGAAGCUCCGGCUAACUAUGUGCCNNNANCCGCGGUAAUACAUAGGGAGCAAGCGUUAUCCGGAUUUAUUGGGUGUAAAGGGUGCGUAGACGGGAAAUUAAGUUAGUUGUGAAAUCCCUCGGCUUAACUGAGGAACUGCAACUAAAACUGGUUUUCUUGAGUACUGGAGAGGAAAGUGGAAUUCCUAGUGUAGCGGUGAAAUGCGUAGAUAUUAGGAGGAACACCAGUGGCGAAGGCGACUUUCUGGACAGUAACUGACGUUGAGGCACGAAAGUGUGGGGAGCAAACAGG